AGUGGAGCACAUCGCCUCCUCAUCUGCCAGCUCCUGAAAAGCUCUCAAGUGGAGUGCUGGCAGGGGACAGAGGCAAGCUGACAAAAUGUUUUCCUGCGCUUCCGAGCCCUGUGGAGUGAAGCAGCAGAGUUUUUUUCAGAACUGCAGAAAAAUGUUUAAUGUGAUAGGAGUAUCUCUGCAUAACGCUGCUGAUCGAUUGCACGGAGGGAUCGUGAGGUUUAGGUUCUUCUUAUCUGGCUUUAUUGCUCUCUGCAUUGCUCUGUGACGUGACGUGGCAGCUAUUUUAGGAUGGAUAUUUUGUUGAGACAGUGAAAUGAGCCGUAUUUCAUUAGUUAAUGGUGUGUUUUGUGUGUACUGUGUGUGUGUGUGCUUGGCUGGUAAAUAUUAGCUUUUUAGCUAAAGAGCAAAUAAGUAUGGUUGUAGAGAGCGUGCACUCGAGUGCCGUGGUUGUAUUUCAGGCUUCUUUCAGCUCUCCAGGUUCAACGUCCUGCGUUUGUCUGACAGCUGUGCUUUUUUUCAGCUCUACAGGUGGCUUUCGGCUCGCUGUACAGAGACGAUGUGUUAAUAAAACCCAGUCGAGUAGUUGCACUUUUAGCAGCAGCCUGCAUGCUGCAGCUUGAUGGCUUAAUCCAGCAAUGUGGUGAAACGAUGAAGGAAACCAUUAAUGCAAAAACUGUGUGUGGUUAUUAUAAUUCAGCGGGGACAUACGGGUUAGACUCUGUGAAGAAAAAGUAAGAAUUUACUUUCUCCCUGCUGCUUUGUACGCUGCUAAUUAGAAUUGUAAAGUUACAAACAGUAAAAUAAUGUUAACUUCUGUUUUUUUAAAGCUGUCUGAAUUGAGCUGUGCUCAUCCCAUUUAGUUUUCCAGUUUCUACUACAAUCAUCUACCUUAAAAUUACUGUAGAUUGUAGUAGAUCGAUUGCCCUGUGCUGUAAAUGAGUUGAUUACUGAAGCAUAUUAGUAAAUACAAUCUAUUUUAUCUUCAGGGUAGCAAUAAAAUAGUAUUUGUGAUUAUCGACCGCUUUAGA
RNAcentral lists this long non-coding RNA (1028 nucleotides) under Anas platyrhynchos platyrhynchos (common mallard). Its description in RNAcentral is "lncRNA (ENSAPLG00000017362.1)". Lineage: Eukaryota; Metazoa; Chordata; Aves; Anseriformes; Anatidae. The record is from RNAcentral.